CCUACGGGAGGCAGCAGUGGGGAAUAUUGGACAAUGGGGGGAACCCUGAUCCAGCCAUGCCGCGUGUGUGAAGAAGGCCCUCGGGUUGUAAAGCACUUUCAGUGAGGAAGAACGCCUGGUGGUUAAUACCCAUCAGGAAAGACAUCACUCACAGAAGAAGCACCGACUAACUCCGUGCCAGCAGCCGCGGUAAUACGGAGGGUGCGAGCGUUAAUCGGAAUUACUGGGCGUAAAGCGCGCGUAGGUGGCUUGAUAAGCCGGUUGUGAAAGCCCCGGGCUCAACCUGGGAACGGCAUCCGGAACUGUCAAGCUAGAGUGCAGGAGAGGAAGGUAGAAUUCCCGGUGUAGCGGUGAAAUGCGUAGAGAUCGGGAGGAAUACCAGUGGCGAAGGCGGCCUUCUGGACUGACACUGACACUGAGGUGCGAAAGCGUGGGUAGCAAACAGGAAUAGAUACCCCAGUAGUC
RNAcentral lists this ribosomal RNA (465 nucleotides) under Vreelandella stevensii. RNAcentral's name for it is "partial 16S ribosomal RNA". It matches the Rfam family "Bacterial small subunit ribosomal RNA", at positions 338 to 795 of the family's 1533-position model. The record is from RNAcentral. Lineage: Bacteria; Pseudomonadati; Pseudomonadota; Gammaproteobacteria; Oceanospirillales; Halomonadaceae.